AAUCAAUUAUCUGCAACGGCACUUCUCUAUUUCUUCUUUCUCCCUUUCUCCUCUCUUCUUUCUCUCUGUUCUCUCUCCUCCUGUUCUCUCUUUCCCUCCCUCUCUCUUCUCUUCUCUGCUCCCCCCCGUCUCUCUCCUUCUCUCCCUCUCUCUCGCCCUCUCUUUCACUCUCUGUCUGUCCAAUGCAGGCGGCUCUAAGUUGGGAAGCUCAUUAAUUAGCGGGCCGGGGGUAGGAGGAGCCGGCUGGAAUUAGCCUGCCUAAUGCGCCUGUCAGUCCGGGCGCUGCGCCGCGCUCGGCCCGAGCUGUUUGUAAAUUACAUUAGCGGCGCCUUUAUUGCACCCGAACCUCGGGCGACUCAAAAGCCGCCGCCCCCACCCCAAACUGCGAGCCUCGCUCCCGGCGCACCCGCCUCCCGCCGGCCUGGCUGCGCUGGUAGCGCUGGCCCGGAGGUCUCAGGCUCUCCGACCCGGGAUUUGGCGCCCGAGAAGGGCGGCGUGAGCCCAGCCGGAGAGGGACGCGGCCGCCGCGCGGGCCAGGCUGAAGAAAAAUAGGGAAACUGAGGAGAAAAUUCUCUCUAAAAGGAGCCAGACAGGGGGAGAGGAAGAGAAGAGAAAAUUUGAACGAGAACCCUAUGCUUCUUGUCAUUAUUUCUAAGAAGAUGGGGAACAAGGCAUUCACUCAACAAGGUUAUGGGGGGCCACCGUGUCCCCUAAGCACUGUAUGUGAUUAACAGUGAACCGCAUGGACACUAUUCCGGCUCAGGAUCUAAUGGGCUCCACAGAAGACGGGCCUUCAGGACACAGCUGAUAACUCUAGGAAAUGGUCCCUACCACUGUCCCCACUUACCUGGAAGGAGCCAAGGCAGUGAAAGGACCCACAGCUGGAUGGGGUGGAAUGGGGAAACACCUUCCAGAGAAGUCUUCUGCAAAGCGUGGAGAUCCAUUGCAAAUGCUUAGAUAAGGACCACCACCAAUAUCUCUAUGCCCUGGCCAUCUUUGGAGUCUCAGAGGCAGGUUGGGGGAAGCUGGCCACAGCCGGGAGGCAGAGUGGCCAGCUCCCAGUCCACAUCUUUGGGAUCCCAGGGCUGGAAAGAGGCAGAAAGUCUCUCAGGAUGGAGAGAAAACCCCUAUUCUCUUACAUCCAAACCUCUGGAGAUAAAACCCCAGAUCUCAGCCCCUCCUGCGAAGAGCAGAACCUUCCCCAGAGCUACCCAGCUUUGAAGCAGCCAGUGGGUAGUGGUGCAUCACUGGAUGGUGUUUUGGGGAUUCCCCCCACUCUGGCCAUCUUCGACCAUUUCUUUCAGCCUCUCCUCCUCAUCCCCUGCCCUCCUUUCUCCCAGGCCUCCUUCCCAGAAGCUGACCUGGAGCUGGAUUUCCAAAUAAACAGUAACUAAUUGGAUUAGAAGCUGAUAA
Molecule: long non-coding RNA, 1413 nt
Organism: Mustela lutreola (European mink)
Lineage: Eukaryota; Metazoa; Chordata; Mammalia; Carnivora; Mustelidae
Exons: 6
Source: RefSeq, a predicted model, not a curated record